RNAcentral lists this small nucleolar RNA (98 nucleotides) under Tursiops truncatus (common bottlenose dolphin). The record is from RNAcentral. Lineage: Eukaryota; Metazoa; Chordata; Mammalia; Artiodactyla; Delphinidae.
CUGCCUCUGGCUGUCAGUUCCAUUCCAGUGCUACAGGAGUUCCAGCACCACGUGACUGACUGACUGGUGGCUUUCAGUUUUACGUCUUGGAGACAAAG